UGUGUGUGUGUGUGUGUGUGUGUGUGUGUGUGUGUGUGUGUGUGUGUGUGUGUGUGUGUGUGUACUACGUGUGCAUGUCAGUGUGUGAAUUUGUGCAGAGUGGGGGGUGGAUGCAUGUGGGAAUGUGGUUUCUUGUUUAUCUAUGUAGCUGUGCAGAAGGCGCGAGAGGGAGAGAAGGAGGGCGUGAGGGAGGGAGAGAGGGAGAAAAAGAGAGAGAGAUUUGUGAGCCACUUGUAUUUGCAAACUCCUGGCUGAGGUCCCACUGGCGGCAGGAAGAUCGGACUGAAAGAGCGCAUGGUAGGAUUGUGCUCCAGUGUGUGUUUGUGCAUGUGUCUGGUUGAGACAUACAGACAGAGAGGGAACGCAUUAAAUCCAUUUCAUCCAUACUGGCCAGUUUAUAUUUUAGCCCCGAAUAUGGAAGUGUUGUCCAUUUCCACUACCCAGCCAACAUCGAUUGCUGUUGCCCAACUUUUGGCCCCAUUGCCGGCAGAAGGAGACUGAAGACAGAGGUGCUCAUAACUCUGGAGAAGGUGGGGACGAAGAUAAAACGAUGAUGAGCGAGUUUAUCACCAUAUCUGAGAAGCUAUUUUAAGGAAACCAGAGCCUAUGCAUCAUCAUCUUCCUCAUUCCCUCUGGUUUGCUCUCAACGUCAUUUAAACCUCAACACCAGCAUGGGUGGUAACCAACUUUGGCACAUGGCUUGCCCUCUCAGGCCAAGACAAACACACAAGCAGAAAGAUAAACAGCACUUAAGUUUGAAGGCUUCCCUAGUCAACCGAUUGAUGAAAGCUGAACCUAUGUAUAUCACAGAAAGAACCGAUACUGUGGCAAAUUUACAAACACCACAUAGUUUAGAUUUGGAACUGCAGACAUUUUUAAAACAAGUGGUCUGUGUGGCAACCGGCAAGCUACUGUGGGAUUUUCCACUUGUCUGAGACAAACUGAAGCUACAGUAAGAAAAUUGGAACCAAUGGAAAUAAAUUCAGUAGCGCUUUUCAAUUUUUCUCAAAGAUUGUGCGUACGAAUUAAGAAUGUCUUGAUACCGAUCAUUUAAUUACAAAAUGAAUCCAAAUCACGUCAUUUUCAGCUGAUCAGAAUCGGGGGGAGGAUUAUUUUAAGGGUCACAAAGCAACAAAAUAAUAUCGACGUACAGAAAUAUUGCCAAAAGAAAAAAUACUUAGAUGUAUAGGUUUUAUUCGACGCAACAGUGCAACACGGCUGGAAACAAGGAGUAAACACUGCUAGUGGGGGAACAUUCUCGUAGUAGUUGUGGGAAGCUAACGUGAAGCUAGUGUCAUGUAACAUUGAUAAUGUCUAGAGUAUGUAAAUAUUUUACCAUUAUAUCACAUAUAUAUGUAUAUGUAUAUAAAUAUAUACACACUAUAUACGAGAUUUGCAGUGUGUGCAAAUUGAGCAUGGGGAAUGGCAGAAAGAGCUGUGUUUACUCAACUAAUGUCUAUACUUGGUUUAAGCCACUGCUCCACUAGCUGUAAAAAACGUUUCAUGUUGGGAUAGUUUUGUUGAUUAAAAAUGGACAAUCUCAAUGCACCCUUUUUUUUUUGCUUAAUACACUGCCGAGGGAUCGGAUCAGAAUUCAGUAUCAUCAGACCCUCAAAAUCAAGGGACUCAGACUCGGAUUGUCACUCAGGUGCAAAAUAAUGUGAUUGUGUGUGUUAAACUUAUGAGGCCAGUUAAACAUCUGCCAUCGAUCCAACAGCAAUGGUGAGGCCCAAAAUCUGUCUCGGUGUCCACAGUGAACAUUCAACGCUGUCGGUGAGUUUGAACUCAGCCAAAACCAUCGACCGUUGACUGUACCCUGAGGGGCACCACAGCACAUGUUCCAUGAUCUUGAAGUAUACUGGGAGCCUUUCACCUCUUCUGGAUUUCUAAUGGUUGCCUCCUGAAGAAGAAUUUAUUUUUGAGGGGCCAGACAUUUUGGCUGCACCUGUAAAUGCUGCAAUAAACAUUCAUUGCUGUCGGUGGGUUUAUAUGAGAAUAACUCAUUGAUCAAUGAAUGCAAACUGCGGUAAAAUGACUCAGAGAGCCAGAUCCCAUCACUGAGGAGGUGACACUGAACAGAAGCAUUGAUAAUAUGCUACGAUAGUAAAAAUAUGGCUAAAAGAAAAGAGAAUAUAGUGGUGCCUUACCUCCUAGAAAAUGGGACACAAUAGAAUAUGUGUAUUUGCCUUGAUGAUCACAAGCUUCAUUUUGCAUUUUGCAUUUGAUGACAUGAAAAUAUAUUUGUUUUAGUAUUAGAUUCAAACGAUAUCUUUAUAACAAAGCCUAUAGAGAAUAGCUAAAUGGCUAUAACUACAGUAUCCUUGAUGUUUCAUUUAAACUAAGUCUUUGAAAAGUGAGUCUUGCUGAUGUCAUUACAAUUAUAUGAUAUUUGUGGGUCUUGGGUCUAGAACAGGACCUCGGACCAGGACAAUCAAGACCUAGACAUGUUAUAUUGGUUUCCAUUCAUCAAAGCUGGAUUACUAAUUGAACCUCAGAAUUACUCGGGUUAGUAUUGGUUUCUGCUAUGCAACACAAGAUCGAAAUCAUCAACUGCAACAGAUCUGUAUAGGUGUAAGUUUUGCAUUAGCGCAGAAAAUAUCACUAGUCCAUUACCGAAAAAUAUUUAUACAAAAUUUGAUACACAAACAUCAAGAUGUCAUGCCUGGUAUAGAUAUACUGUUGAUGCAGAACUUGCAACUUCAAUACAGAAUUUUAACUCCUGCAUUUACUAGCUACUGCAUCUAUACAUUCAUUAAACACAAUGUGCGCUCAAAUGAAAUAAUAAUAGUCAAAAUAAUAAUAACACAGAAAAUACACAAAUACUAUGUGUUUGUAUGUGUGUAAUGUCUUAUGAUAAGAACCUAUAAAAAGUUAAUGUGUGUACGUAAUUGCAUGUGGAUAAUCUUUGACUAAUUGCCUCAUGAAGUAUAGAUAAACACUAUGAAAAAAGCCGUCAUAGCAAAACCUACAUAGUAUAUUCUUUUUUUUCUGUUGAUUAAUUCAAUAAUCGGAACAACAUUGAUUUAAAAAAAAGCCACUUAGUGUCACUUCGUGUAUUUCAUUUCAAUAAUCUUUUCUUUCUUUCUCGUUUAAUGGCAUAUAGAAAGAACUCUUAGAUUAAAAAUACAUUGUAAUAAUUAAAUACAGAAUUGAUGUUAAAUUUACCUGAAAGGUAUAUUUAAUAUCAUAUAGACAGUGUACAGUGAGUGAAUGCAUAUUAACCAUUCAAUAGAUAAUACAAUUUCUAAAAUUUGAACAAACAGAAUGGUUGAGGGGAUUGCUUAGAGCGUGUGUGUUUUGUAUUAUAUUAGCGUAACAAUCUGGGCAAAUAAUCAAUUUGACUGUGAAAUUGCACGUCAUACAUCUGUAAAGUUGUAACAAGAGAAAAUGUUUGUUACUUUGCUAAAUAAAUCACAUUAAAGUCUG
Molecule: long non-coding RNA, 3426 nt
Organism: Syngnathus acus (greater pipefish)
Lineage: Eukaryota; Metazoa; Chordata; Actinopteri; Syngnathiformes; Syngnathidae
Exons: 2
Source: RefSeq, a predicted model, not a curated record